CGAGUAAACGGCGGCCGUAACUAUAACGGUCCUAAGGUAGCGAAAUUCCUUGUCGGUUAAAUACCGACCUGCAUGAAUGGCGUAACGAGAUGGGAGCUGUCUCAACCAGAGAUUCAGUGAAAUUGUAGUGGAGGUGAAAAUUCCUCCUACCCGCGGCAAGACGGAAAGACCCCGUGGACCUUUACUACAACUUAGCACUGCUAAUGGGAAUAUCAUGCGCAGGAUAGGUGGGAGGCUUUGAAGUAAGGGCUUUGGCUCUUAUGGAGUCAAA
This 271-nucleotide ribosomal RNA is filed under the name Helicobacter pylori. RNAcentral describes it as "partial 23S ribosomal RNA". It matches the Rfam family "Bacterial large subunit ribosomal RNA", at positions 1920 to 2190 of the family's 2925-position model. The record is from RNAcentral. Lineage: Bacteria; Pseudomonadati; Campylobacterota; Epsilonproteobacteria; Campylobacterales; Helicobacteraceae.